This 451-nucleotide ribosomal RNA is filed under the name uncultured bacterium. RNAcentral's name for it is "bacterial SSU rRNA". It matches the Rfam family "Bacterial small subunit ribosomal RNA", at positions 354 to 796 of the family's 1533-position model. The record is from RNAcentral.
GUAGGGAAUUUUCCGCAAUGGGCGAAAGCCUGACGGAGCGAUGCCGCGUGAGGGAUGAAGGCCUUCGGGUUGUAAACCUCUGUUGUUGGGGACGAACGGCCUGGGGUCCAAUAGGCUCCAGGUUUGACGGUACUCGACGAGGAAGCCCCGGCUAAUUACGUGCCAGCAGCCGCGGUAACACGUAAGGGGCAAGCGUUGUCCGGAUUCACUGGGCGUAAAGGGCGCGUAGGCGGUUUCGUAAGUCAGGGGUGAAAUCUCUGGGCUCAACUCAGAAAUUGCCUUUGAAACUGCGAGGCUUGAGUGCUCCAAGGGAAGGUGGAAUUCCUGGUGUAGCGGUGAAAUGCGUAGAUAUCAGGGAGAACACCCGUGGCGAAGGCGGCCUUCUGGGGAGUAACUGACGCUGAGGCGCGAAAGCUAGGGGAGCAAACAGGAUUAGAUACCCGAGUAGUCC